RNAcentral lists this ribosomal RNA (502 nucleotides) under uncultured bacterium. Its description in RNAcentral is "bacterial SSU rRNA". It matches the Rfam family "Bacterial small subunit ribosomal RNA", at positions 32 to 509 of the family's 1533-position model. The record is from RNAcentral.
AAUCAACGCUGGCGGCGUGCCUCAGACAUGCAAGUCGAACGCGAAAGUCCCCUUCGGGGGACAAGUAGAGUGGCGCACGGGUGAGUAACACGUAGGUAAUCUACCUUUGGAUGGGGAAUAACAACCGGAAACGGUUGCUAAUACCGCAUAAUGCAGCGGCACCUAAUGGUGACAGUUGUUAAAGCGGGGGAUCGCAAGACCUCGCGUCUAAAGAGGAGCCUGCGGCAGAUUAGCUAGUUGGUAAGGUAAUGGCUUACCAAGGCGAUGAUCUGUAGCCGGCCUGAGAGGGCGGUCGGCCACACUGACACUGACAUACGGGUCAGACUCCUACGGGAGGCAGCAGUCGGGAAUUUUGGGCAAUGGGCGAAAGCCUGACCCAGCAACGCCGCGUGAAGGAUGAAAUCCUUCGGGAUGUAAACUUCGCAAGAACGGGAAGAAUAAGUAAGAGCUAACAUCUCUUAUGAUGACGGUACUGUUUGUAAGCUCCGGCUAACUCCGUGCC